AUCGGAGCGGCGCUAGCACCUCCUUCGCCCCGCCGCCAGCCAAUCGGAGCGGCGCUAGCGCUCCUUCGCCCCGCCCACCGCCGUUGCCAUGAAGGAGCAGCUCCACAGGAUGGAGGAGCAGCCCCCCAGGGGGAAGGAGCGGCCCCACAGGGCGGUGGGCAUGGAACAGGCGGCCCAGUGGGCACAGCAGCACUGCCAGGGCUCAGGGACAGCGCUCACAGCCAUAGGGGUUGGGUGGUGCUGUGUGGAGCCCGGCCUUGGGAGCAGUGAUCGCUGUGUAUCCCUUCCAAGUCAGGGUGCUGCAAAGCAUUGGGCUGUCUGAAUAUACAGCAGUUCACCAGCACAGUGGUGGUGGAACCAGCACAGUGGGAUGGAGCAGCUUCCUGGUUAUUCUGGAGCAGCAGCAGCUGUACCUGGGGAGAAACUUGAUCUGCCUCAUCGGUGCCAUUUCCACAUUGUGUCUGAUCUCAGAAGAAGGACAGCAUGGAUGAAUUUGUGCAACAACCCUACCUGCCAUAGAAGAUUAUAUCUGACAAGAAAAUCCACUGGUGACUUGUGAGCUACACUGGCCAUCCCCCAUCCACAGUGGUAAGCAGUCUUUUGAGACCUGCGAGAAUCUUUUUGGUACGCCUGGAAAUUAGUCUUAUUAUUUAAGUUUCUAAAGACAGAACAUAGAAUCCACCUUCUGUGGACUAAAGAAUCUGUUCGGUGCUUGAUUCUCAUCUUGGCUGUUCUACUAUAGUGAGCUUUACCACUUGAAUUCACUGAUUGAAGUUUUAAGCUGAAUGAAGCCUCUGUUUGUUUUAUUUCUUUUUUUGAAAUCUGUUUCCAAAAUUCGGAGUAUUUUGCAGUUCAAAAACUGUUCUUUGCUUCAUCAAAGACUUUAUUAAACUGACCUAUACCACCCUCCUCACAGGA
This is a non-coding RNA of Coturnix japonica (Japanese quail), 918 nucleotides long. NCBI's taxonomy places the organism in Eukaryota, Metazoa, Chordata, Aves, Galliformes, Phasianidae. The record is from RefSeq and is a predicted model, not a curated record.